Molecule: long non-coding RNA, 674 nt
Organism: Gasterosteus aculeatus (three-spined stickleback)
Lineage: Eukaryota; Metazoa; Chordata; Actinopteri; Perciformes; Gasterosteidae
Source: Ensembl
AUGAAGUAUUUCUCAUCCAUUCACUUCGUUUCUUUUUUUUCUCAAACAAAAAGGUUUUUUUUUCUUUUCUUCUGUACGCGCGCGCGCGUGUGUGUGUGUGUGUGUGUGUGUGUGUGUAACGAUGAUGACGACGUCCAGGUGCGCGCUGACGAGCCCGAGGAGCGUGCGUGCCGCUGGUCGGAGUCACGCGCACAGGUGAGCUCGGCAUCGUGCGUCCGGGACAGAGUGCGCGGGCUGUACGUGCGCGUGCGCGGCGCGGAUCUCCUCCUCGCGGCCACACCGAGGAAGUCGUGUCCCGAACUUCUCCCCCUUUUUCUCCCCGUUUUCUCCCCGCUGCUUCCGGGCCGCUCGGCUGCGGAGCUCCACGAGGACCCGGUGCCCCGGAGACCGGCAGCUCCGCGCGGGAGAGAGAGCGCGUUUCCACGGCAACACGCGAAGUGAAGAGAGGGGGCGGAGCUACUGAAACAACUACAGACAUUGUGAAGAGACGGAGAAGGUGAUGUUAGCAUGAGUAGCUAACGUGUUAAUGAACGUCAUUAAUCUAAUUAUGACCCGUAUGCAUGCACGUUGCUACUAGUAAACAGGAAGUGACCGUAUAAGUAGACGCUGUAUAGGUCUCUCGUAGGGACAUGUCAAUCAGCGUGUAGCCCCGCCCUAAAGCAUCCUCUGCUUUA